AGGUGCGAUCAUACCAGCACUAAUGCACCGGAUCCCAUCAGAACUCCGCAGUGAAGCGUGCUUGGGCGAGAGUAGUACUAGGAUGGGUGGUUGCCAGAGAUAAGACAAUCCUCUGCCCCCC
RNAcentral lists this ribosomal RNA (121 nucleotides) under Phaseolus vulgaris (common bean). The record is from RNAcentral. Lineage: Eukaryota; Viridiplantae; Streptophyta; Magnoliopsida; Fabales; Fabaceae.